Molecule: ribosomal RNA, 126 nt
Filed under: Taricha rivularis (red-bellied newt)
Lineage: Eukaryota; Metazoa; Chordata; Amphibia; Caudata; Salamandridae
Description: partial 16S ribosomal RNA
Source: RNAcentral
UAUCUAUAAAAGAUUUUUUCUAGUACGAAAGGACCGAAAAAAUAGAGCCCCUUAAUAAACAAAGCUCUCAUACUGCUGAAAACAAAUAAAGGCCCCCACAAAAUACACCUUAAGAACAAAGGACAA